CGCCCCCAGAGGCGGGCGGGCGGCCGCUGCGCGCUCCCCUCCCCGCGGCGGUACCUGCGCUGGAAGUCGGUCCGGAAGGGCGCCAGCUCCUAGGUACCUUAACUCUUUCCCACAACCAUCUCCAAAAUUGUUCUCAGUUUGAGACUCAUCCCCCCCUAUCUCGGCUUCCUCUGAAUUGUGCCUCUAAGUCCUGAGCUUGGCAGUUUUCCUGAUGCAGACAAGAGGUAGGACUUGCUUUAUAAGUCAUCAGCCCCGAGGCCUUCACAAGAAAAACAGUGAUGUUUACCUUGGGGGAUUCUAAUUCCUCAGCUUUGGCUGUCUCCUCAGCAGCUCCUGUGUUGUCAUCUGCUCCAACACAUGCACUUACAAGGAGCACUUACAAAGGGAGCUGAGUCAUUCUCUAAAUCUGGACCAUCGUGCUCUGAACAUAAAACCUUCCUCUGCAGUUCUU
Molecule: long non-coding RNA, 451 nt
Organism: Pseudopodoces humilis (Tibetan ground-tit)
Lineage: Eukaryota; Metazoa; Chordata; Aves; Passeriformes; Paridae
Source: RefSeq, a predicted model, not a curated record